CGCUUCUCCUCUGAGAUAAGAUGGAGACACUUUCAAGCUCUGGUUUAAAAUCAUCAAAAACAGAGUCUCCUGCUGGAGAUAAGAUACAUGUUGGUGUGGAGCAUCUGGGAGCCGUAAAGAUUAUUGCCGAAACCAAGAUUGUGAUUGCUUAGCCUUUUGGAGCCUGCUUCCCCAUGAAUAAAAUGAAGACAAGGUUUCUUAUCUUCUAGAAGUAUCAUCAUUUGGAUGAGAUUUGUGUAUAGAUCACCAGGAACAUGCCUCGUCUGGCCAAGAGAGGCGCAGGUGGAGGCCAGCCAAAGGCAGUCUCCCUAGGAACUGUGGUCUGGAGAAGUGGCCGUCUUGUGCAUCGGAUCUACCCUCCUCCCUGGCCUGCCUCCUACCCCCAGGCCUGCGUGAGCUUCCGGGAACUUCGAUGCGAUCUUGGAGGAAGAGUGGGAAUUAAUGGUGAAAAGGUUUCAACUUGGCGGGAUGACACCAGGAAAAUAAAGAAGUCAUAUUUCUUGUGCU
This is a long non-coding RNA of Suricata suricatta (meerkat), 507 nucleotides long. RefSeq lists it as uncharacterized. Lineage: Eukaryota; Metazoa; Chordata; Mammalia; Carnivora; Herpestidae. The record is from RefSeq and is a predicted model, not a curated record. The transcript has 3 exons.